UACAGAGGGUGCAAGCGUUGUUCGGAUUUACUGGGCGUAAAGCGCGCGCAGGCGGUCCUUCAAGUCAGAGGUGAAAGCCCAGAGCUCAACUCUGGAACGGCCUUUGAGACUAGAGGACUUGGGUACGGGAGAGGUGAGUGGAAUUCCGAGUGUAGAGGUGAAAUGCGUAGAUAUGCGGAAGAACACCAGUGGCGAAGGCGGCUCACUGGCCCGUUACCGACGCUCAGGCGCGACAGCGUGGGGAGCAAACAGG
Molecule: ribosomal RNA, 253 nt
Filed under: uncultured bacterium
Lineage: Bacteria
Description: partial 16S ribosomal RNA
Rfam family: Bacterial small subunit ribosomal RNA
Source: RNAcentral